UACGGAGGGAGCUAGCGUUGUUCGGAAUUACUGGGCGUAAAGCGCGCGUAGGCGGCUUUGUAAGUUAGAGGUGAAAGCCCGGAGCUCAACUCCGGAACUGCCUUUAAGACUGCAUCGCUUGAAUCCAGGAGAGGUGAGUGGAAUUCCGAGUGUAGAGGUGAAAUUCGUAGAUAUCGGGAAGAACACCCGUGGCGAAGGCGGCUCUCUGGGACGGUACUGACGCUGAGACGCGAAAGCGUGGGGAGCGAACAGG
This 253-nucleotide ribosomal RNA is filed under the name uncultured bacterium. RNAcentral describes it as "partial 16S ribosomal RNA". It matches the Rfam family "Bacterial small subunit ribosomal RNA", at positions 524 to 776 of the family's 1533-position model. The record is from RNAcentral.